RNAcentral lists this ribosomal RNA (506 nucleotides) under uncultured bacterium. RNAcentral's name for it is "bacterial SSU rRNA". It matches the Rfam family "Bacterial small subunit ribosomal RNA", at positions 1 to 526 of the family's 1533-position model. The record is from RNAcentral.
AUUGAGUUUGAUCCUGGCUCAGGACGAACGCUGGCGGCGUGCUUAACACAUGCAAGUCGAACGGUAAGGCCCUUCGGGGUACACGAGUGGCGAACGGGUGAGUAACGCGUGAGUAACCUGCCCUUGACUCUGGGAUAACAGAUGGAAACGUCUGCUAAUACCGGAUACUCAGCCUUGUGGGCAUCCGCAGGGUUGGAAAGCUCCGGCGGUCAAGGAUGGACUCGCGUCCUAUCAGCUAGUUGGUGGGGUAACGGCCUACCAAGGCGACGACGGGUAGCCGGCCUGAGAGGGCGACCGGCCACAUUGGGACUGAGAUACGGCCCAGACUCCUACGGGAGGCAGCAGUGGGGAAUAUUGCACAAUGGGCGAAAGCCUGAUGCAGCAACGCCGCGUGCGGGAUGACGGCCUUCGGGUUGUAAACCGCUUUCAGCAGGGACGAAGCGCAAGUGACGGUACCUGCAGAAGAAGCACCGGCUAACUACGUGCCAGCAGCCGCGGUAAUAAUC